This 444-nucleotide ribosomal RNA is filed under the name Ceratophysella liguladorsi. RNAcentral describes it as "partial 16S ribosomal RNA". The stretch from base 84 to 444 matches the Rfam family "Bacterial large subunit ribosomal RNA", at positions 2046 to 2624 of the family's 2925-position model. Lineage: Eukaryota; Metazoa; Arthropoda; Collembola; Poduromorpha; Hypogastruridae. The record is from RNAcentral.
AUAAUCAUUAGCCUCUUAAUUAGGGGAUGGAAUGAAUGGUUGAACUUUUACAUGUUUUAUUAAUAUUAUUUAAUUGAAUUUUGAUUGUAAGUGAAAAUACUUAUUUAUUCCUAUUAGACGAUAAGACCCUAUAGAUCUUUAAUACUAUUAGACUUAAUUAAUUUGGGGGGAUUAAUUAGGUUGUUUAGUAUUUUAGCUGGGGCAGCAAAAGAAUAAAUAAAACUUCUUUAUUUACUGGUUAGAUAUAAUUUAACUUAAUCUUGAAUUUUAAAUGAAUAAUAAGUUACCUUAGGGAUAACAGCGUAAUUAAUUUGGAGAGCCCAUAUCGAUAAAUUAGAUUGCGACCUCGAUGUUGAAUUAUGAAAUCUAACUAGGGCAGCUUUUAGUUAAGAUGGUUUGUUCAACCAUUAAAUUCUUACAUGAUUUGAGUUCAAACCGGUGUGA